RNAcentral lists this ribosomal RNA (757 nucleotides) under uncultured Actinomycetes bacterium. RNAcentral's name for it is "bacterial SSU rRNA". It matches the Rfam family "Bacterial small subunit ribosomal RNA", at positions 64 to 827 of the family's 1533-position model. Lineage: Bacteria; Bacillati; Actinomycetota; Actinomycetes. The record is from RNAcentral.
GAACGGAAAGGCCUGCAGCUUGCUGCGGGUACUCGAGUGGCGAACGGGGGAGUAACCACGUGGGUGAUCUGCCUUGCACUUCGGGAUAAGCUUGGGAAACUGGGUCUAAUACCGGAUAGGACAGCUGUUUAGUGUCAGUUGUGGAAAGUUUUUUCGGUGCAAGAUGAGCUCGCGGCCUAUCAGCUUGUUGGUGGGGUAAUGGCCUACCAGGGCGUCGACGGGUAGCCGGCCUGAGAGGGUGUACGGCCACAUUGGGACUGAGAUACGGCCCAGACUCCUACGGGAGGCAGCAGUGGGGAAUAUUGCACAAUGGGCGGAAGCCUGAUGCAGCGACGCCGCGUGGGGGAUGAAGGCCUUCGGGUUGUAAACUCCUUUCGACAGGGACGAAGCGUAAGUGACGGUACCUGUAUAAGAAGCACCGGCUAACUACGUGCCAGCAGCCGCGGUAAUACGUAGGGUGCGAGCGUUGUCCGGAAUUACUGGGCGUAAAGAGCUCGUAGGUGGUUUGUCGCGUCGUCUGUGAAAUUCCGGGGCUUAACUCCGGGCGUGCAGGCGAUACGGGCUGACUUGAGUGCUGUAGGGGAGACUGGAAUUCCUGGUGUACGGUGAAAUGCGCAGAUAUCCGGAGGAACCACCGAUGGGCAAGGCAGGUCCUCUGGGCAGUACUGACGCUGAAGGAGCGAAAGCAUGGGUACGAACAAGGAUUAGAUACCCUGGUAGUCCAUGCCGGUAAAACGGUGGGGCGCAAAGUGUAAGG